GAGGAAGGGAGAUGAGUAAUAAAAGGAAAAAGAGAAAACUAGUAAAAAGAUAAGAAAAAAUAGACUUAAAAAUAGAAAGAUGAGGAAAAAAAAGAGAAAAGGAAUAAUGAAUAGAAAAAGUGAGCGUCGGCUACAAAAAUAACCAGAAAAGAGAGAGAGAGAGAGAGAGAGAGAGAGAGAGAGAGAGAGAGAGAGAGAGAGAGAGAGAGAGAGAGAGAGAGAGAGAGAGAGAGAGAGAGAGAGAGAGAGAG
Molecule: long non-coding RNA, 251 nt
Organism: Portunus trituberculatus (swimming crab)
Lineage: Eukaryota; Metazoa; Arthropoda; Malacostraca; Decapoda; Portunidae
Exons: 2
Source: RefSeq, a predicted model, not a curated record